Molecule: ribosomal RNA, 1361 nt
Filed under: uncultured bacterium
Lineage: Bacteria
Description: bacterial SSU rRNA
Rfam family: Bacterial small subunit ribosomal RNA
Source: RNAcentral
AUUGAACGCUGGCGGCAGGCCUAACACAUGCAAGUCGAGCGGUAGCACAGAGAGCUUGCUCUCGGGUGACGAGCGGCGGACGGGUGAGUAAUGUCUGGGAAACUGCCUGAUGGAGGGGGAUAACUACUGGAAACGGUAGCUAAUACCGCAUAACGUCGCAAGACCAAAGUGGGGGACCUUCGGGCCUCAUGCCAUCAGAUGUGCCCAGAUGGGAUUAGCUGGUAGGUGGGGUAACGGCUCACCUAGGCGACGAUCCCUAGCUGGUCUGAGAGGAUGACCAGCCACACUGGAACUGAGACACGGUCCAGACUCCUACGGGAGGCAGCAGUGGGGAAUAUUGCACAAUGGGCGCAAGCCUGAUGCAGCCAUGCCGCGUGUGUGAAGAAGGCCUUCGGGUUGUAAAGCACUUUCAGCGGGGAGGAAGGCGAUAAGGUUAAUAACCUUGUCGAUUGACGUUACCCGCAGAAGAAGCACCGGCUAACUCCGUGCCAGCAGCCGCGGUAAUACGGAGGGUGCAAGCGUUAAUCGGAAUUACUGGGCGUAAAGCGCACGCAGGCGGUCUGUCAAGUCGGAUGUGAAAUCCCCGGGCUCAACCUGGGAACUGCAUUCGAAACUGGCAGGCUAGAGUCUUGUAGAGGGGGGUAGAAUUCCAGGUGUAGCGGUGAAAUGCGUAGAGAUCUGGAGGAAUACCGGUGGCGAAGGCGGCCCCCUGGACAAAGACUGACGCUCAGGUGCGAAAGCGUGGGGAGCAAACAGGAUUAGAUACCCUGGUAGUCCACGCUGUAAACGAUGUCGAUUUGGAGGUUGUGCCCUUGAGGCGUGGCUUCCGGAGCUAACGCGUUAAAUCGACCGCCUGGGGAGUACGGCCGCAAGGUUAAAACUCAAAUGAAUUGACGGGGGCCCGCACAAGCGGUGGAGCAUGUGGUUUAAUUCGAUGCAACGCGAAGAACCUUACCUGGUCUUGACAUCCACAGAACUUUCCAGAGAUGGAUUGGUGCCUUCGGGAACUGUGAGACAGGUGCUGCAUGGCUGUCGUCAGCUCGUGUUGUGAAAUGUUGGGUUAAGUCCCGCAACGAGCGCAACCCUUAUCCUUUGUUGCCAGCGGUUAGGCCGGGAACUCAAAGGAGACUGCCAGUGAUAAACUGGAGGAAGGUGGGGAUGACGUCAAGUCAUCAUGGCCCUUACGACCAGGGCUACACACGUGCUACAAUGGCAUAUACAAAGAGAAGCGACCUCGCGAGAGCAAGCGGACCUCAUAAAGUAUGUCGUAGUCCGGAUUGGAGUCCGCAACUCGACUCCAUGAAGUCGGAAUCGCUAGUAAUCGUAGAUCAGAAUGCUACGGUGAAUACGUUCCCGGGCCU